RNAcentral lists this ribosomal RNA (621 nucleotides) under uncultured bacterium. Its description in RNAcentral is "bacterial SSU rRNA". It matches the Rfam family "Bacterial small subunit ribosomal RNA", at positions 240 to 861 of the family's 1533-position model. The record is from RNAcentral.
AUUAGCUUGUUGGUGGGGUAACGGCUCACCAAGGCCACGAUGUCUAGGGGUUCUGAGAGGAAGGUCCCCCACACUGGAAUUGAGACACGGUCCAGACUCCUACGGGAGGCAGCAGUGAGGAAUAUUGGACAAUGGUCGGAAGACUGAUCCAGCCAUGCCGCGUGAAGGUUACGGUCCUAUGGAUUUUAAACUUCUUUUGUAUGGAAGCAAUAAGGUGCACGCGUGCAUCGAUGAGAGUACCAUACGAAUAAGCAUCGGCUAACUCCGUGCCAGCAGCCGCGGUAAUACGGAGGAUGCAAGCGUUAUCCGGAUUUAUUGGGUUUAAAGGGUGCGUAGGCGGAUUAAUAAGUCAGCGGUGAAACUCACAGGCUCAACCUGUGCCGUGCCGUUGAAACUGUUUAUCUUGAAUGCGGAUGCUGUGGGAGGAAUGUGUAGUGUAGCGGUGAAAUGCAUAGAUAUUACACAGAACACCGAUUGGGAAGGCAUCUCACAAACCCGUGAUUGACGUUGAGGCACGAAAGCGUGGGGAUCAAACAGGAUUAGAUACCCUGGUAGUCCACUACUGUAAAAGAGGAUAACUCGCUGCCGGCGAUAUAUAGUCGGUGGCCCAGCGAAAGCGAU